This 438-nucleotide ribosomal RNA is filed under the name uncultured bacterium. RNAcentral's name for it is "partial 16S ribosomal RNA". It matches the Rfam family "Bacterial small subunit ribosomal RNA", at positions 338 to 795 of the family's 1533-position model. The record is from RNAcentral.
CCUACGGGCUGCAGUGGGGGAUAUUACACAAUAGGGGAAACCCUGAUGCAGCGACGCCGCGUGAGUGAAGAAGUAUUUCGGCAUGUAAAGCUCUAUCAGCAGGGAAGAAAAAAGACGGUACCUGACUAAGAUGCCCCGGCUAAGUACGCGCCAGCAGACGCGGCAAUACGCAGGGGGCAAGCGUUAUCCGGAAUUACUGGGUGUAAAGGGAGCGUAGGCGGCAAUACAAGUCGGAAGUGAAAUACCCGGGCUCAACCUGGGAACUGCAUUUGAUACUGUAUGGCUGGAGUGCUGGAGAGGUAAGCGGAAUUCCUAGUGUAGCGGUGAAAUGCGUAGAUAUUAGGAGGAACACCAGUGGCGAAGGCGGCUUACUGGACAGUAACUGACGUUGAGGCUCGAAAGCGUGGGGAGCAAACAGGAUUAGAUACCCUAGUAGUC